AUUGAACGCUGGCGGCAGGCCUAACACAUGCAAGUCGAGCGGAUGAAUGGAGCUUGCUCCUGGAUUCAGCGGCGGACGGGUGAGUAAUGCCUAGGAAUCUGCCUGGUAGUGGGGGAUAACGUCCGGAAACGGGCGCUAAUACCGCAUACGUCCUGAGGGAGAAAGUGGGGGAUCUUCGGACCUCACGCUAUCAGAUGAGCCUAGGUCGGAUUAGCUAGUUGGUUGGGUAAAGGCCUACCAAGGCGACGAUCCGUAACUGGUCUGAGAGGAUGAUCAGUCACACUGUAACUGAGACACGGUCCCGACUCCUACGGGAGGACGCAGUCGGGAAUAUUGGACAAUGGGCGAAAGCCUGAUCCAGCCAUGCCGGGUGUGUGAAGAAGGUCUUCGGAUUGUAAAGCACUUUAAGUUGGGAGGAAGGGCAGUAAGUUAAUCCCUUGCUGUUUUGACGUUACCAACAGAAUAAGCACCGGCUAACUUCGUG
RNAcentral lists this ribosomal RNA (484 nucleotides) under uncultured bacterium. RNAcentral's name for it is "partial 16S ribosomal RNA". It matches the Rfam family "Bacterial small subunit ribosomal RNA", at positions 30 to 507 of the family's 1533-position model. The record is from RNAcentral.